Molecule: long non-coding RNA, 2079 nt
Organism: Gorilla gorilla gorilla (western lowland gorilla)
Lineage: Eukaryota; Metazoa; Chordata; Mammalia; Primates; Hominidae
Exons: 6
Source: RefSeq, a predicted model, not a curated record
AGUAGAGCUCACUGAACAUUUUCCACUUUUGAGUGCUGCUCAAAUAAACUGUUAAAUUUAUUUAAUCUGAAGUUUCUAUUUUAACAGUUUCUAGAUAUCAGUAUGUUUUUCUAGAAAUUGAUAAAUGGAAAGAAUCAAGUGUUUUCACAGUAAAUCCUAUAUGUACAGGAAACUUAUACUGGGUUCUCAAUAUUUCUGUGCACAUUCAAUAUUUCCAACAAUUAUAGUUACUAUCUGAAAACUUUAAGGGAUUUAAAGACACAAGAUGACAAGAAACAAGUCCAUCAGCACUGAAGGAUAUUCACACUCAGUGUGACAACAGCUCACAGGGUACCAUGUGAUCUGCUGAUCCUGUGUCAGUUCUGCUCUUUGGAUAUGUCAAUGUUGCUAUAUAUGCCAAAGUGAGACUUUGAAUAUGUACCCUCAUUGGAAUUUGGGUACGCAGCACAGUUCUUUAUGAUACAUGUUCCUGGGAUCUCAUAGGUGGAUUUAGAAUUUUUGGUGCUUUAACCUGUGACUUGCCGUAUUUUCAUAUUUAAAGUUACGAGAGCAUCAAGUUAACAUAUAAUGAAGAUAAAAAGUGACACAGCUGCUCUUUCUAUAGUGAGAAACUGGUGAUAUGGUCCUUAAAAAUCUCUGCUAUUUCACAUGAGAAUAAGGAAACUAAAAGCAAAGCAACAAAUAUUUAUUGAGUACCUAUCACGCCCUAUGGACUGUUUACUUUAUGAAGCUUAAGUUCUGGAGAAGAGGGACAGAAGUGCCAGCUGGCCAUUCAUUUUCCAACAGCUUUCUUCAUACCUCGACACCAGUCCUGAUGACUCUGAUCCCAUACUCAUGAAGCCGACCUCAAACUUACAAGCACGUUGAAUCUGAGCUGAAUUUAUAGUUAAAGUGGCAUGCUUUCACAUAUUUUUAUAGAUGCUGGAAGAUGAGUACACCAGUUGGAUCAGUCCUGAAAACAUCAAAAGGCUGGAUGAUACAGGGAGGAAAAAGAGAAGGAACUCUGCUGAAAGAAAUACCAAAACUGUUAUUGUUCACGUGGUAGAAAAAGUAAUGAACGAAGUCUUAAGACCUGGGGUCUAGCUGCAGCUUUCCCCUAACUAGUCACAUGACCUUAAGCAAAUUCUGUCCCUCCCUCACAGAAUAAUGAGUGGAAUUCAACAAUUCUUUCUUCUUCUUCUUCUUCUUUUUUUUUUUUUGAGACAGAGUUUUGCUCUUGUUGCUGCCCAGGCUGGAGUGCAAUGGUGCGAUCUCGGCUUUCCGCAACCACCUCCGCCUCCCAGGUUCAAGAGAUUCUCCUGCCUCAGCCUCCUGAGUAGCUAGGAUUACAGGCAUGCGCCAGCAUGCCCAGCUAAUUUUGUAUUUUUAGUAGACACUGGGUUUCUGCAUGUUGGUCAGGCUGGUCUCGAACUCCCAACCUCCGAUGAUCUGCCUGCCUUGGCCUCCCAAAGUGCUGGCAUUACAAGGAAUUCAAUAAUUUCUAAGAUCCUUCAAACUUUCAUAUUUUUAAAACCAUAUAUUUGUCAGCAAAUACAUAUCAGAUGUCUGCAAUAUGCCAAGCAUUAUAUACCCACCUAUAAUAUUUUACUGCCUUUGUUUUCGAAGGACCACAUUUCUCUUUGGUUACUCAAGUUCCUCAUUGUGAAAUGUGACUAAUGAUGACUCUCCUGCUUAUUUUAGAACACAGAGGGAAAUUGUGUCUGAAAGUGAUUUGGAAAAUCUAAAAUGUUCUGCAGCAGCAGAUACCUUUGACAUAUUCAUUUGUAUUGUGGGAACAUAUGUACAGGUUUUUCUCUUUGAGAUAAUAAGCAAUAACCUGAAAAUGCUCUGUUUUACUUGAAAAUGUGUGAGAUGCCUGAUCCAGAGAGAAAUUAUCUUAAUACUGUUCUAGAGUUGUGUUUGCAUGUACACACAAAGCUGCUAAUUAGAUCACAGUAAAUGCACAAAGUAACAUUGUCUGCUUGAAGAAUAAAGAAUGUGUUCCGUGAGAGCUUGCCUAUUUUAUUCAUCAUUAUAUUUAUAAUAGUAAUAUUUGUUGAAGGAAUGAAUGAGUGAAGCAAUGAAAGAAUGCAGAUAGCA